UACGGAGGGUGCAAGCGUUAUCCGGAAUCAUUGGGCGUAAAGCGCGUGUAGGCGGUUCGGUAAGUCCGCUGUGAAAGUCGGGGGCUCAACCCUCGAAUGCCGGUGGAUACUGUCGGACUAGAGUACGGAAGAGGCGAGUGGAAUUCCUGGUGUAGCGGUGAAAUGCGCAGAUAUCAGGAGGAACACCAAUUGCGAAGGCAGCUCGCUGGGACGUUACUGACGCUGAGACGCGAAAGCGUGGGGAGCAAACAGG
RNAcentral lists this ribosomal RNA (253 nucleotides) under uncultured bacterium. RNAcentral's name for it is "partial 16S ribosomal RNA". It matches the Rfam family "Bacterial small subunit ribosomal RNA", at positions 524 to 776 of the family's 1533-position model. The record is from RNAcentral.